CUAUUCACUUGACGUUAGCGACAGAAGAAGCACCGGCUAACUCCGUGCCAGCAGCCGCGGUAAUACGGAGGGUGCGAGCGUUAAUCGGAAUUACUGGGCGUAAAGCGCAUGCAGGUGGUUUGUUAAGUCAGAUGUGAAAGCCCGGGGCUCAACCUCGGAAUAGCAUUUGAAACUGGCAGACUAGAGUACUGUAGAGGGGGGUAGAAUUUCAGGUGUAGCGGUGAAAUGCGUAGAGAUCUGAAGGAAUACCGGUGGCGAAGGCGGCCCCCUGGACAGAUACUGACACUCAGAUGCGAAAGCGUGGGGAGCAAACAGGAUUAGAUACCCUGGUAGUCCACGCCGUAAACGAUGUCUACUUGGAGGUUGUGGCCUUGAGCCGUGGCUUUCGGAGCUAACGCGUUAAGUAGACCGCCUGGGGAGUACGGUCGCAAGAUUAAAACUCAAAUGAAUUGACGGGGGCCCGCACAAGCGGUGGAGCAUGUGGUUUAAUUCGAUGCAACGCGAAGAACCUUACCUACUCUUGACAUCCAGAGAACUUUUCAGAGAUGGAUUGGUGCCUUCGGGAACUCUGAGACAGGUGCUGCAUGGCUGUCGUCAGCUCGUGUUGUGAAAUGUUGGGUUAAGUCCCGCAACGAGCGCAACCCUUAUCCUUGUUUGCCAGCGAGUAAUGUCGGGAACUCCAGGGAGACUGCCGGUGAUAAACCGGAGGAAGGUGGGGACGACGUCAAGUCAUCAUGGCCCUUACGAGUAGGGCUACACACGUGCUACAAUGGCGCAUACAGAGGGCAGCAAGCUAGCGAUAGUGAGCGAAUCCCAAAAAGUGCGUCGUAGUCCGGAUUGGAGUCUGCAACUCGACUCCAUGAAGUCGGAAUCGCUAGUAAUCGUGGAUCAGAAUGCCACGGUGAAUACGUUCCCGGGCCUUGUACACACCGCCCGUCACACCAUGGGAGUGGGCUGCAAAAGAAGUAGGUAGUUUAACCUUCGGGAGGACGCA
RNAcentral lists this ribosomal RNA (994 nucleotides) under Vibrio sp. 2011SOCNI45. Its description in RNAcentral is "bacterial SSU rRNA". It matches the Rfam family "Bacterial small subunit ribosomal RNA", at positions 461 to 1454 of the family's 1533-position model. The record is from RNAcentral. Lineage: Bacteria; Pseudomonadati; Pseudomonadota; Gammaproteobacteria; Vibrionales; Vibrionaceae.